GCUGCGCCGGCAGCUUCGCCCGCUGUCUGCUCCGAGAGGGACCCUCCAGCGAUUGAAAUUCACAGGCACCGACCGAGACCACGUGGGGAAGCGAGGGGGGCGCGGGGACCCUCCCCGGCGCCCAGCAUGGUCCUCCGCUUAAAGCGGCGAUGCCUGAGCUCGGGUGGGCCCACAGUGGUUUGGGGGCUGCCCGCAGCGGCACCGGGGGAAAGAGGGAUCCCGGCUUCACGCGGAGCCAACCCUGCCACUGCCAGCGGUUGCAUCCACUGGCAGGAGUGGCACCUCUCUGCAGAUUCCCGGUGGCCCCCUGCCCUCCGCGGGAAGCAGACAGGGUGCGGCACCUUUGGACACAGGAGGGAUUUGAGGUCAAGCUGCUGCAUUCAGCCCCAGAUGUCAGGCGUUGCAAAGGCUGGGGGAGGGGGGGCAGAUCGGGGCGCUUGCAAAAUGCCGGGCCAGCUUCAAGGUUCACUCCCGCGGUGAUCGGGGCAGCUGGAGGCAGGGUUUGACUUCAGGUCCCAUCCCUUAAGGCACCUUGGUUGAGUGUGGGGGGGAUCCCAGUGUCCAGAUCACAUCACUACUUAUCCCUAGUGGAUGUUCUGUGUAGCCCUUGUGCAGUUCCAACGUCCCUCCCCCCCUCCCCCUUUACACAUACGGCCUCGGUUCCCGCUCGUUCUUUAUUAAUUCCAUUCAUUGCCUAGCUUUCAUGAGCGCUAGGCACUCGCCAUACACAGGGAGAGAGUUGUUUUUCCGCCGCCUCACACAAGCUGUAGCGCUCACGCUAAAGAACAAAGACGGAAAAGAGAGACCAUGCGCAAGCAGAAAGCAUGGUAGGCACACUGGGUUCAUUGUUUUGCCUGAUCCUGCAAAUUAUUCUGCUCAGGCAAAACCUCCAGCACUAAUGAACUCUAGUGAAGCUCUGAAGAGACCUGAGAUUCAAAAUUCCACGGAUCAUCUUGUAGGAUCCUGUAUUUCCUGCUCUCUGCUAUGAUCUAUCACUCAUUUCUUUCCCUCUUUCCCCUUCUCAGUGCCGGUGCCCAUAGAUAACUGCAGAUAUCACCUAUGGAUUAAAGCUUUCUUUUUCCGCCAAUUUCCACGGAUCUCCCUCUGGAGGAGGAAGCAGGAGGAGGGGUGUUCUUUGGAAACUACAAAAUGUUUGCCUAAGGCCAUUAUUUGACUACUGGAUGCUGGAACAAUUUUUAUAAUGGGGGUGCCGAGAGCCACUGAAUCAAGCUGUAAACCCCUGUAUAUGAUGGAAGCCAAUUCAAGCGAAGCAGUGCAGCAGGACCUCUAGCAUCCCUAGUUUCAGCACCUACGCUUCCCGCAGUAUAGUGACAGGAGACAUGGCUAGCCCAUGUCUCACCUCCUCCCUCCCAUGCAGAGGAGAGUCUGGGAUCUUUGGAUGAAAGGCACAAUUGAAGUACAAGGCCCAGGGGAAGCUGUCAACGUGUAUUAAGAACAGCACAUAGUGUCAUGAUACUGACCUGUUCUCACAGCAAUAUGUCACAGUCAACUGUAGCCAUUAGAGUAUUUGUGCAAUGGUUUCAUCGGAUGCCUCAUGGACUCACUGAAAUAAUGAGAUGUAGUUACUAUCCAGGCUGCUAACAAUACUGAUUCCCAUCUAGUGUAAUGCACAGUAUAAUCACUCACCUUGCUAGUCAUGAAUUCAGGAAUCAUUCUUCUCCAACGCUGAACUCUUAUCACUGCAUGCUGCUUUAUACUAAAAUUUGAUCUUUUACUCUUUGAAUCCAUGUGCACUGAACAAUGAACACCAGGUGUGUCAUUUAUGGGAGGUGAUUGCUAUAACACGCACUUCCCAAUAUGCACAGUGCCAUUACAUUGAAUUGCAGCCUCUUAUUCAAUGGCAGACUGAAUAUUUUUAUUCAAGUAAUGACACAGAAUAGCCUGCCUGUUUCCUGUAACUUUCCAGCCUAAAUCAGCUUUGAAAAAAAAAAAAAAAACCCUGAUAGAAAGGGAUUCAAAGCUGUAAAUUAAAUUUUAUUCCCUAUGGACACUAGAUCUUUAUUUGGAUUCCUUUUAAAUGAAGAUCUAUGCUUCUCUCAGGAUAAAUUAUGUUUAUAAUGAGCAAUCAGUUGGUAUCUCCUGUCCUGGGAAUUUCCAGUGGGAAAGGACCUUUGCCAUUGAUAAGGAUGUUUUAUUUCCUGUUUUCAGAGUGAAAAUAAACUUGAAGGUAUUCAAGACACUCAUUCUGUUUAUAGCAUACCUCUUGCAAUUAGCCAAAUGUCAAUAACUUAAAGCAAUAGCUGGGAUAUAGUACUAUAGCACUUGAAAAAAACGCUUAGCUAUUGUCCUGCACCACCU
This is a non-coding RNA of Pelodiscus sinensis (Chinese soft-shelled turtle), 2319 nucleotides long. The record is from RefSeq and is a predicted model, not a curated record. Lineage: Eukaryota; Metazoa; Chordata; Testudines; Trionychidae.